This 233-nucleotide ribosomal RNA is filed under the name uncultured Legionellales bacterium. RNAcentral describes it as "partial 16S ribosomal RNA". It matches the Rfam family "Bacterial small subunit ribosomal RNA", at positions 45 to 270 of the family's 1533-position model. The record is from RNAcentral. Lineage: Bacteria; Pseudomonadati; Pseudomonadota; Gammaproteobacteria; Legionellales.
UGCCUAACACAUGCAAGUCGAACGGCAGCACGGUGUGUAGAAAUACAUAUGGGUGGCGAGUGGCGGACGGGUGAGUAAUACGUAGGGAUCUGCCUUUUGGACGGGGACAACUUGGGGAAACUCGAGCUAAUACCCGGUAAGCUCUAAGGAGGAAAGGAUGGGACUACAGAUAGCCAUUCACCAAGAGAUGAACCUACGUCGGAUUAGCUAGUUGGUGGGGUAAAGGCCUACCA